Molecule: transfer RNA, 61 nt
Filed under: Mucochytrium quahogii
Lineage: Eukaryota; Bigyra; Thraustochytrida; Thraustochytriidae
Description: labyrinthulid quahog parasite QPX tRNA
Rfam family: tRNA
About the family: Transfer RNA (tRNA) molecules are approximately 80 nucleotides in length. Their secondary structure includes four short double-helical elements and three loops (D, anti-codon, and T loops).
Source: RNAcentral
AGUAGCUCAGGAGGUAGAGCAAGUGGCUGUUAACCACUAGGUCAUUGGUUCAAAACCAAUC